GUUGUCCCGGAAGUGCCUUCUCUCCUCCCGGGUCUGCGCGGACGCGGCCUCCUUACCUCAUUUGUCCUCGCCCCUCCCCGUCCCUCUACGCGUUUUGGUCCCUGUUUGGUGCUUUCUGUUUGCAGCUACGGCAGCCCCCAGUCUUCUAGGGAAGCCAGUCAGUGAAGCGCGGAGGUCCGGGCGCGCCGAGAGAGAGUCCAGUCUUUGAGGACCGAGUAGUCCUGGGCCACCUCCCGCCUCUGCUGUCAGAAGCAGCAGCUGCCGCCGUGGAAUCCAAAAUUUCGGGAGCUGUGACCCUUUCCUCAUGUAAAACGAGUAGUCUUGGACGAUCUGGGCAUAGGAACCAAUCAGAAACAAUCGCUUCAGCAAUCAAGACCAUUGUUCAUCAUGGAGGAACCCAUGGAUACCUCUGAGCCUCUAUCUGCAUUACCAUUCACUGGGCAGCAGUCUUUUGAGCCAAGUGGCAAAUUUGGACAGUAUCCAUCGAUGCAGAUGAACCACAUCCAGGCACUGGGGAAGUGGAGGACAUAGAACAGCUCAAUCAGUGUUUGAUCCAACACUUCCAUCUCAUUAAGACAAGUUUGAUUUUUCUUUGCUUUUUAUUUCAUGGAAUACAUGAGAAUCUCUUAACUGUUGGAGUUUCCAAGGAGGCAUACCUCAUGACUUCAGUUAAUGGAAAGAACAAAACUAAAAUGCUGUAUGGCCAAAGCCACAAAGGGAAGGAUCCACAAUUUACAUUCUUGGAGCUAUCAUCUGUACUGUACUGUUGUGAUCUACUGAUUGGCAUUGGCAUAGUAGUAGGGGUCAAGUGACAGAAUCCGUGCCAGCAGUCUCCAGGUUCAGAAGCAAUUCAAGACCCUGAUGAUAGCUCUCCAGCAACCAACACAUGGUGAUUGUGCCAACUUGUUGCUCAGUUAUAAUGCAGGGCCAGUGAUUGGUUUAAGUGAAGACCAUGGUUGAGAUCAUUUGUCUUUGGUCUAAUAGAAUUUGAGUCUAGUAGAAUUUGAGUCUCCAGGGAAAGAGCUACUUGACCAAAUUAAACUAGUAGCAGGUAGAGCAUGAAUGACAGCAUAUUAUACCAUCAAGAUGUUCUUAGAGCAGUGUAUGGAUGGAUCGAUUGUACUGCCAUCAGUUGUGACUGACGUUGUAUUCAAGGAGAAAGAGAAACUUGUUUAGAAAGCACUUUGAAAGUUUUUUGAGUACGGGGGUGCCCUGUAUCACCCCGUUAUGGUUGAACUUUCUCCUUCAAAAUUACCAGACUUGGCAGCAGUGGCAAAUUAUUGGGCUAAAAGACUUAAUCAGACAUAUUCUGGGUUCAAGGCUCCUAAUAUAAUACCUGGUGCAAACAUUAUACUUCCACUCAUUCAGAUGGUUGCAUCCUGCCAGGCAUCCAGUGGGACUGGGAAUAUGGACACUUGAACAUUAAACAUCCUGAAGAAUUUUGGAAUGACAGGUUACAAGUGAACAUAAUCAGUUCUCUAUAUUAAAAAAAAAAAAAGAUUUGGGCAUAGAUUGGGCUCACAUAAUCUUUAGAGAGAUUUUUUCAUUUUUGUGAAAGUACAGAAAUUCUUAACUGCUUAUGAAAUGCUGAUUGUUAAACAGCAUCCACAGCUAUUUUGUGUUGUUUCCCUGACCCCACCCUGAAGAAAAGAAAAAUUAUGGCAUAUUGAAAACAGCAGUAUGAUGUAAGAGAAAAGAUCACAAAUUCCUUGAGGGUGGGUCUUUUCCAUACUCAUAAGCCUAUUUAUAAUAUUCAGAGUAAUUUAUUGACACAUAUUAAUAUUCCCUCCUAUCCCAUUAAUUGCCAAAUCAUCAAACAUUUAUUGAGCACCUACUCUGUGUAGGGUGUAAGCAGUACUGGGGACUUACAGUGAUAAAAGACAUAGUUUUAGCCUUAAGUGAUGUACUGUUUCACUGAAGAGAUGGAAUAUAAGAAGCCAAGUAAUUUAUGGAAUUCUCUUCUUUGUUUUUCUUUUUUUUUUUUGGCAGUGGAGUCUUGCUCUUUAAAUAGAGCAAGGCUAGUCUGGAACUCCUGGGCUCAUGUGGUCCUCCCGCCUUAGCUUUCAGUGUAGCUGGGACUACAGGUGUGAACACAGCUUGGAAAUCUCUUAACCAUGGGAGUUAAGUCUCAAAAUUCUGGUGAUACAAGUGGUUGAAACUUAAAACUGUAUUUAAAAAAUAGGAUUCGUGAAUUUGAGAUAGUUCAUAAGUCUGCAAAAGGCUGUAUAAAUACAUAUUUUACAUUUACUAUUAUUAAUUUUGUAGUAAAUUUGAGUACAGCACUCUCUUUAUCUGUGGAAACUUCAGACUCUCCCCUAUUACUUUAAUUUCAGUGAGACAUUAUUAAAUAUAAGUGGGCUUACAC
This 2365-nucleotide long non-coding RNA is filed under the name Homo sapiens (human). RNAcentral describes it as "HSALNT0351859". Lineage: Eukaryota; Metazoa; Chordata; Mammalia; Primates; Hominidae. The record is from RNAcentral.